Molecule: ribosomal RNA, 465 nt
Filed under: uncultured bacterium
Lineage: Bacteria
Description: partial 16S ribosomal RNA
Rfam family: Bacterial small subunit ribosomal RNA
Source: RNAcentral
CUACGGGUGGCUCCAGUGAGGAAUUUUGCGCAAUGGGGGCAACCCUGACGCAGCAACGCCGCGUGAGUGAAGAAGGCCUUUGGGUCGUAAAGCUCUGUCAACUGGGAAGAGGUUAGAGUUGUUUAAUAGAUGACUCUAUUGACGGUACCAGUGGAGGAAGCGCCGGCUAACUCCGUGCCAGCAGCCGCGGUAACACGGGGGGCGCAAGCGUUAUUCGGAAUUAUUGGGCGUAAAGGGCGCGCAGGCGGUCUUGUCAGUCAGGUGUGAAAGCCCGGGGCUCAACCCUGGAAGUGCACUUGAAACAGCAAGACUGGAAUACGGGAGAGGAAAGCGGAAUUCCUGGUGUAGAGGUGAAAUUCGUAGAUAUCAGGAGGAACACCGAUGGCGAAGGCAGCUUUCUGGACCGAUAUUGACGCUGAGGCGCGAAGGCGUGGGUAGCGAACGGGAUUAGAUACCCGAGUAGUC